This 370-nucleotide ribosomal RNA is filed under the name uncultured bacterium. RNAcentral describes it as "bacterial SSU rRNA". It matches the Rfam family "Bacterial small subunit ribosomal RNA", at positions 426 to 793 of the family's 1533-position model. The record is from RNAcentral.
UAAGAUUUCAGCAGUGAGGAAGUGGGUAUGUUAAUAGCAUAUUCAUUUGACGUUAGCUGCAGAAGAAGCACCGGCUAACUCCGUGCCAGCAGCCGCGGUAAUACGGAGGGUGCGAGCGUUAAUCGGAAUUACUGGGCGUAAAGCGCAUGCAGGUGGUUUGUUAAGUCAGAUGUGAAAGCCCGGGGCUCAACCUCGGAAUUGCAUUUGAAACUGGCAAACUAGAGUACUGUAGAGGGGGUAGAAUUUCAGGUGUAGCGGUGAAAUGCGUAGAGAUCUGAAGGAAUACCGGUGGCGAAGGCGGCCCCCUGGACAGAUACUGACACUCAGAUGCGAAAGCGUGGGGAGCAAACAGGAUUAGAUACCCUGGUAG